AUUUCAAGAGGGCAAGAAGUUCCUGUCCAAGGUUACUUUGCUGAAAAAUAGAAUCGGAAAUAACAGGGGAAAGAUGGGACUCAGUGCCAUACCAGCAGCAGCUUCCAGCUCUUAUCACCCAUUCCUAGAUUACUGCAUCCAAGCUAUUCUGCCUCAGGCUGCUAUCCCUAACCAAUUCAUCCUACACAUCACUGCCAGAUUAAUAAUUCUAGACCAGGGCUUCCCUGGUGGCAC
This is a long non-coding RNA of Aethalodelphis obliquidens (Pacific white-sided dolphin), 234 nucleotides long. RefSeq lists it as uncharacterized. The record is from RefSeq and is a predicted model, not a curated record. The transcript has 3 exons. NCBI's taxonomy places the organism in Eukaryota, Metazoa, Chordata, Mammalia, Artiodactyla, Delphinidae.